UACAGAGGUGGCAAGCGUUGUUCGGAAUUACUGGGCGUAAAGGGCGCGUAGGCGGCCUUGUAAGUCCUGUGUGAAAUCCCCCGGCUCAACUGGGGAACUGCACAGGAGACUGCUUGGCUUGAGUUCGGGAGAGGGAAGCGGAAUUCCGGGUGUAGCGGUGAAAUGCGUAGAUAUCCGGAGGAACACCGGUGGCGAAGGCGGCUUCCUGGACCGACACUGACGCUGAGGCGCGAAAGCGUGGGGAGCGAACGGG
Molecule: ribosomal RNA, 253 nt
Filed under: uncultured bacterium
Lineage: Bacteria
Description: partial 16S ribosomal RNA
Rfam family: Bacterial small subunit ribosomal RNA
Source: RNAcentral